UACAGAGGCCCCAAGCGUUGUUCGGAUUUACUGGGCGUAAAGGGUGUGUAGGGGGUUGGGUAAGUUUGACGUGAAAUCCCGUUGCUCAACAACGGAACUGCGUCGAAUACUGCUCGGCUGGAGGUUCGGAGAUGAGGGCGGAAUUCUCGGUGUAGCGGUGAAAUGCAUUGAUAUUGGGAAGAACACCGGUGGCGAAGGCGGCCUUCUGGUCUGAUACUGACGCUGAGAUACGAAAGCCAGGGGAGCGAACGGG
This 253-nucleotide ribosomal RNA is filed under the name uncultured archaeon. RNAcentral describes it as "partial 16S ribosomal RNA". It matches the Rfam family "Bacterial small subunit ribosomal RNA", at positions 524 to 776 of the family's 1533-position model. The record is from RNAcentral.